This is an unclassified non-coding RNA of Cyanistes caeruleus (blue tit), 163 nucleotides long. The record is from Ensembl. NCBI's taxonomy places the organism in Eukaryota, Metazoa, Chordata, Aves, Passeriformes, Paridae.
GUGACAACCCUAGAGACAGAAGUGGCCAUGUAUCCCCAGGGCAGAUACCACAUGGGCAAAAGCAUUCCAGCAUUGCCUCUUCAGCAAGCUUCAGCCCUCAUGUGAAAGGACAGGAUCUGCAGGUCACAUGGAGAUUAGUCUCUGUCCUUCAGCCCUGCCUGCU